Molecule: ribosomal RNA, 423 nt
Filed under: Fowleria variegata (variegated cardinalfish)
Lineage: Eukaryota; Metazoa; Chordata; Actinopteri; Kurtiformes; Apogonidae
Description: partial 12S rRNA
Rfam family: Bacterial small subunit ribosomal RNA
Source: RNAcentral
GGCGCUUCACACCCACCUAGAGGAGCCUGUUCUAGAACCGAUGACCCCCGUUCAACCUCACCUUUUCUUGCUUUCCCCGCCUAUAUACCGCCGUCGUCAGCUCACCCUGUGAAGGACCCCCAGUGAGCAAGGCUGGCACAGCCCAAAACGUCAGGUCAAGGUGUAGCGCAUGAAAAGGGAAGAAAUGGGCUACAAUUGCUUUAACAGCUAAUUACGGACUGUACCGCUGAAAGCGCACACAUGAAGGAGGAUUUAGAAGUAAGAGGGAAAGCAGAGCGUCCCCCUGAAAUGGUUCUGAAGCGUGCACACACCGCCCGUCACUCUCCCCAGGCUAGAACAAUCCAAGUAAAUAAAACAAUGAGCCUACAAAGGGGAGGCAAGUCGUAACAUGGUAAGUGUACCGGAAGGUGCACUUGGAAGAAU